GCAGUGGUGGUUCAGUGGUAGAAUUCUUGCCUUCCAUGGGGAAGACUCAGGUUCAAUUCUCGGCCAAUGCA
This 71-nucleotide transfer RNA is filed under the name Loxodonta africana (African savanna elephant). It matches the Rfam family "tRNA". From Rfam's summary of the family: Transfer RNA (tRNA) molecules are approximately 80 nucleotides in length. Their secondary structure includes four short double-helical elements and three loops (D, anti-codon, and T loops). Lineage: Eukaryota; Metazoa; Chordata; Mammalia; Proboscidea; Elephantidae. The record is from Rfam by way of RNAcentral.